GGUUAAGCGACUAAGCGUACACGGUGGAUGCCCUGGCAGUCAGAGGCGAUGAAGGACGUGCUAAUCUGCGAUAAGCGUCGGUAAGGUGAUAUGAACCGUUAUAACCGGCGAUUUCCGAAUGGGGAAACCCAGUGUGAUUCGUCACACUAUCAUUAACUGAAUCCAUAGGUUAAUGAGGCGAACCGGGGGAACUGAAACAUCUAAGUACCCCGAGGAAAAGAAAUCAACCGAGAUUCCCCCAGU
RNAcentral lists this ribosomal RNA (243 nucleotides) under Escherichia coli. Its description in RNAcentral is "partial 23S ribosomal RNA". It matches the Rfam family "Bacterial large subunit ribosomal RNA", at positions 1 to 244 of the family's 2925-position model. The record is from RNAcentral. Lineage: Bacteria; Pseudomonadati; Pseudomonadota; Gammaproteobacteria; Enterobacterales; Enterobacteriaceae.